This 402-nucleotide ribosomal RNA is filed under the name uncultured bacterium. RNAcentral's name for it is "bacterial SSU rRNA". It matches the Rfam family "Bacterial small subunit ribosomal RNA", at positions 355 to 774 of the family's 1533-position model. The record is from RNAcentral.
UCGGGAAUUUUGGGCAAUGGGCGAAAGCCUGACCCAGCAACGCCGCGUGAGGGAUGAAGUAUUUCGGUAUGUAAACCUCGAAAGAAUGGGAAGAAUAAAUGACGGUACCAUUUAUAAGCUCCGGCUAACUACGUGCCAGCAGCCGCGGUAAUACGUAGGGAGCAAGCGUUGUUCGGAAUUACUGGGCGUAAAGCGUGCGUAGGUGGUUGUUUAAGUCUGAUGUGAAAGCCCUGGGCUCAACCUGGGAAUGGCAUUGGAAACUGGGCAGCUAGAGUGCGGUAGAGGGUAGUGGAAUUCCCGGUGUAGCAGUGAAAUGCGUAGAGAUCGGGAGGAACAUCUGUGGCGAAGGCGACUGCCUGGACCAGCACUGACACGGAGGCACGAAAGCGUGGGGAGCAAACA